GAUGAACGCUGGCGGCGUGCCUAAUACAUGCAAGUCGAGCGAACGGACGAGAAGCUUGCUUCUCUGAUGUUAGCGGCGGACGGGUGAGUAACACGUGGAUAACCUACCUAUAAGACUGGGAUAACUUCGGGAAACCGGAGCUAAUACCGGAUGAUAUUUUGAACCGCAUGGUUCAAAAGUGAAAGACGGUCUUGCUGUCACUUAUAGAUGGAUCCGCGCUGCAUUAGCUAGUUGGUAGGGUAACGGCUUACCAAGGCAACGAUGCAUAUCCGACCUGAGAGGGGGAUCGGAAAAACGGGAAGUGAGAAACGGAAAAGAAACCAAGGGGAGGCAGAAGAAGGGAAACUACAGAAAGGGGCGAAAGAGUGAGGGAGAAACGCCGCGUGAGUGAUGAAGGGCUUCGGAUCGUAAAACUCUGUUAUUAGGGAAGAAAAUAGGGGUAAGUAACGGUGAAAAUCUGGAGGGUACCUAAUCAGAAAGCCACGGCUAACUACGU
RNAcentral lists this ribosomal RNA (496 nucleotides) under uncultured bacterium. Its description in RNAcentral is "partial 16S ribosomal RNA". It matches the Rfam family "Bacterial small subunit ribosomal RNA", at positions 28 to 506 of the family's 1533-position model. The record is from RNAcentral.